Molecule: transfer RNA, 82 nt
Filed under: Candidatus Delongbacteria bacterium
Lineage: Bacteria; Candidatus Delongiibacteriota
Also listed under: 1 other name
Description: tRNA-Leu
Rfam family: tRNA
About the family: Transfer RNA (tRNA) molecules are approximately 80 nucleotides in length. Their secondary structure includes four short double-helical elements and three loops (D, anti-codon, and T loops).
Source: RNAcentral
GCGGGAGUGGCGGAACUGGCAGACGCGCAGGAUUUAGGUUCCUGUGCCUUCGGGCGUGGGGGUUCAAGUCCCCCCUUCCGCA